This 496-nucleotide ribosomal RNA is filed under the name uncultured bacterium. RNAcentral describes it as "partial 16S ribosomal RNA". It matches the Rfam family "Bacterial small subunit ribosomal RNA", at positions 28 to 506 of the family's 1533-position model. The record is from RNAcentral.
GAUGAACGCUGGCGGCGUGCCUAAUACAUGCAAGUCGAGCGAACGGACGAGAAGCUUGCUUCUCUGAUGUUAGCGGCGGACGGGUGAGUAACACGUGGAUAACCUACCUAUAAGACUGGGAUAACUUCGGGAAACCGUAGCUAAUACCGGAUAAUAUUUUGAACCGCUUGGUUCAAAAGUGAAAGACGGUCUUGCUGUCACUUAUAGAUGGAUCCGCGCUGCAUUAGCUAGUUGGUAAGGUAACGGCUUACCAAGGCAACGAUGCAUAGCCGACCUGAGAGGGUGAUCGGCCACACUGGAACUGAGACACGGUCCAGACUCCUACGGGAGGCAGCAGUAGGGAAUCUUCCGCAAUGGGCGAAAGCCUGACGGAGCAACGCCGCGUGAGUGAUGAAGGUCUUCGGAUCGUAAAACUCUGUUAUUAGGGAAGAACAUAUGUGUAAGUAACUGUGCACAUCUUGACGGUACCUAAUCAGAAAGCCACGGCGAACUACGU